Molecule: ribosomal RNA, 468 nt
Filed under: uncultured bacterium
Lineage: Bacteria
Description: partial 16S ribosomal RNA
Rfam family: Bacterial small subunit ribosomal RNA
Source: RNAcentral
GACGAACGCUGGCGGCGUGCUUAACACAUGCAAGUCGAACGGAAAGGCCCUGCUUUUGUGGGGUGCUCGAGUGGCGAACGAGUGAGUAACACGUGAGUAACCUGCCCUUGACUUUGGGAUAACUUCAGGAAACUGGGGCUAAUACCGGAUAGGAGCUCCUGCUGCAUGGUGGGGGUUGGAAAGUUUCGGCGGUUGGGGAUGGACUCGCGGCUUAUCAGCUUGUUGGUGGGGUAGUGGCUUACCAAGGCUUUGACGGGUAGCCGGCCUGAGAGGGUGACCGGCCACAUUGGGCCUGAGAUAGGGCCCAGACUCCUACGGGGGGCAGCAGUGGGAAAUAUUGCACAAUGGGCGGAAGCCUGAUGCAGCAACGUCGCGUGCGGGAUGACGGCUUUCGGGUUGUAAAAAGCUUUAGACUGUGACGAAGCGUGAGUGACGGUAAUGGGUAAAGAAGCACCGGCUAACUACGUG